UCCGUAGGGGGCAAGCGUUGUCCGGAAUUAUUGGGCGUAAAGAGCGUGUAGGCGGUCCGGUAAGUCCGCUGUGAAAGUCGGGGGCUCAACCCUCGAAUGCCGGUGGAUACUGUCGGGCUAGAGUGCGGAAGAGGCGAGUGGAAUUCCUGGUGUAGCGGUGAAAUGCGCAGAUAUCAGGAGGAACACCUAUUGCGAAGGCAGCUCGCUGGGACGUAACUGACGCUGAGACGCGAAAGCGUGGGGAGCAAACAGG
This 253-nucleotide ribosomal RNA is filed under the name uncultured bacterium. Its description in RNAcentral is "partial 16S ribosomal RNA". It matches the Rfam family "Bacterial small subunit ribosomal RNA", at positions 524 to 776 of the family's 1533-position model. The record is from RNAcentral.